Caenorhabditis elegans is the source of this 129-nucleotide non-coding RNA. Lineage: Eukaryota; Metazoa; Nematoda; Chromadorea; Rhabditida; Rhabditidae. The record is from Ensembl.
GGACUUAAUAAUAAAAAGUAGAAAAUCAAAGUGCUCUAGCUUUGGAUGAAGAAUGUGUUAUAAGAAAGUUGUGAAUACAUUUUGACGGCUUUUGCAUGAAAAUAGAGGGAUAUAGAACGAGCAUGGGGG